AUGGUUUUCCAAUGUGCUUUUCGGUCCGGCGGUCAGGUGGGCCACCCCAUGGGCCAUUCACUCAUUCGAGUGUCGAUUCCUCCAUCCGAUGGCCGCUCCCCAAGUGUAGACACUGUGUCCAGCAGACAAGCCAGGGAAGCUUCGUGUCCACCACCGUGCUGGCCCCCUGCCCCCCCAGGAGCACGCCUUGCCUGGGGAGGGGUGCCCACGAAGGAGGGGAACCCCAGCCUUUGGGGGAGCUGGGGGCAUCGACGGGCCCCCUCAGCGGCCUGGCCCUCCCCCCACCCCCCCACCCGACCUCGCGUCGGUAAGCCCUCAGGCCUGCCCUUGCCCGGGUACACCCUCUUCGUGGAAUCUGUGCUGCCGCUACCCUGGGAACUUUCCAUCGGAAAAUGUUGGGUGGGGUGGGCGGGUGGACAGGCCGGGGCAGGCCGCAGACGCACUGUGGGUGGAGGGGCUCGCCCGUCCCACACCGCAGCACGGCCUCCCUGCCCUUCACAUUCUGAUCUCAUCCUCUACCCUCAGGCCCGGACAGUGCCUGCUGUGUGGCACCCCCCGUGCCCCCCCAGCGGCCAGGCUGUCCUCUCAGCACCCAGGGAGUUUCCAGACCGGUUGCCCCAUCUGGCCCCUGGGCCACUUCCCCUCCCCCCACUCCUUCUCAGACCUCCUGGGGGGCGGGGGGAGGGGCUCUGGGUCCUCACACCCUGUUCACGCAUCUGCCUCCUGCCCAAGAGAGGGUGCCUCCGCAGAGCUAGCCAAAGGCUCAUGGCUGAGGAUGGGGAGGCCAGGGGCCCGGAAAGGCCUUGGAGCCGACUCAGGGCAGCCUCUGGCCCUUCCCAGGGGCACUUGGGGCCAGGGUCUGGGGCUGAGCCCGGCUCCUCCUGGGCAGGGACAGUAACAGCCACCCGGUGGGACUCCGAGAUGGCCUCACCCCCCUGGUGGCAGCCUGGGCUGGCCAGGUGGCCUUCCUCCCACACAGAGUCCAGCCCUGACCUCCAGGCUGCAUCACAUCCCAGUCUGCCGACACGGCAGAAACUCGUAGCAAACCACGGCUGUGGGCACCGUCAUUCUCAGGACCAGUCCUCAAGGCCGCCACUGGGCUCUGGCACAGGCUACGUCCUCUUCCAAGAUGUCCCUUCUCCUUGCGCAUUCGAGCUGGUGCUCCCCGGGCACCCCUUCCUGAGGCCCCACCUGCCCUAG
RNAcentral lists this long non-coding RNA (1200 nucleotides) under Felis catus (domestic cat). RNAcentral's name for it is "lncRNA (ENSFCAG00000053341.1)". The record is from RNAcentral. Lineage: Eukaryota; Metazoa; Chordata; Mammalia; Carnivora; Felidae.